GCGACGCCGCGUGAAUGAUGAAGUUCUUCGGAAUGUAAAGUUCUUUUGGCAGGGAAAAUAAUGAUUGUACCUGCAGAAUAAGCACCGGCAAACUAUGUGCCAGCAGCCGCGGUAAUACAUAGGGUGCAAGCGUUGUCCGGAAUUACUGGGCGUAAAGAGCGUGUAGGCGGCUUUUUAAGUCGUAACCUUAAAUACAGGGGCUCAACCCCUGUCAGGGUUCGAUACUGAUAAGCUAGAGAUUGGGAGAGGAAAGUGGAACUCACAGUGUAGCGGUGAAAUGCGUAGAUAUUGUGAGGAACACCCGUGGCGAAGGCGACUUUCUGGACCAUUUCUGACGCUGAGACGCGAAAGCGUGGGGAGCAAACAGGAUUAGAUACCCUGGUAGUCCACGCUGUAAACGAUGUACAUUAGGUAUUGGGGGUAUCGACCCCUCCAGUGCCGAAGCUAACGCGUUAAAUGUACCGCCUGGGGAGUACGGUCGCAAGAUUAAAACUCAAAGGAAUUGACGGGGGCCCGCACAAGCAGUGGAUCAUGUGGUUUAAUUCGACGAUACCCGAAAAACCUUACCAAAACUUGACAUCUACAGAAUCUUACGGAAGCGUAGGAGUGCCCGCAAGGGAGCUGUAAGACAGGUGGUGCAUGGUUGUCGUCAGCUCGUGUCGUGAGAUGUUAGGUUAAGUCCUGCAACGAGCGCAACCCUCAUAUUGUGUUGCUACAUUUAGUUGAGCACUCUCAAUAGACUGCCCGUGGCAAACGGGAGGAAGGUGGGGAUGACGUCAAAUCAUCAUGCCCUUUAUGUUUUGGGCUACACACAUGAUACAAUGGUCGGUACAAAGGGAUGCGAAGCCGCAAGGUGAAGCAAAUCUCAAAAAGCCGGCCUCAGUUCAGAUCGUAGGCUGCAACUCGCCUGCGUGAAGUUGGAAUUGCUAGUAAACGCAGAUCAGCAUGCUGCGUUGAAUACGUUCCCGGGCCUUGUACACACCGCCCGUCACACCAUGAAAGCCAGAAAUAUCCGAAGUAGAUGAGCUAACCGCAAGGGAGCAGUCUCCUAAGAUAGCGCUGGUGAUUGGGGUGAAGUCGUAACAAGGUAGCCGUACCGGAAGGUG
Molecule: ribosomal RNA, 1106 nt
Filed under: uncultured cyanobacterium
Lineage: Bacteria; Bacillati; Cyanobacteriota
Description: bacterial SSU rRNA
Rfam family: Bacterial small subunit ribosomal RNA
Source: RNAcentral